Molecule: ribosomal RNA, 253 nt
Filed under: uncultured bacterium
Lineage: Bacteria
Description: partial 16S ribosomal RNA
Rfam family: Bacterial small subunit ribosomal RNA
Source: RNAcentral
GACAGAGGUGGCAAGCGUUGCUCGGAGUUACUGGGCUUAAAGGGCGCGUAGGCGGUCGUGCACGUCGGAGGUGAAAUCCCCGGGCUCAACCCGGGAACUGCCUUCGAUACGGCGCGACUCGAGUGCUGGAGGGGAGAGUGGAACUCCUGGUGGAGCGGUGAAAUGCGUAGAUAUCAGGAGGAACGCCGGUGGCGAAAGCGACUCUCUGGACAGCAACUGACGCUGAGGCGCGAAAGCCAGGGGAGCAAACGGG